RNAcentral lists this ribosomal RNA (791 nucleotides) under uncultured archaeon. Its description in RNAcentral is "bacterial SSU rRNA". It matches the Rfam family "Archaeal small subunit ribosomal RNA", at positions 85 to 879 of the family's 1478-position model. The record is from RNAcentral.
ACGGCUCAGUAACACGUGGAUAACAUGCCCUUAGGAGGGGGAUAAUCUCGAGAAAUUGAGAAUAAUACCCCAUAGGUCAUGAAUGCUGGAAUGCUUCAUGGCUCAAAGUUCCGGCGCCUAAGGAUUGGUCUGCGGCCUAUCAGGUUGUAGUGGGUGUAACGGACCCACUAGCCAAUGACGGGUAUGGGCCCUGAGAGAGGGAGCCCAGAGAUGGACUCUGAGACACGAGUCCAGGCCCUACGGGGCGCAGCAGUCGCGAAACCUUCACACUGGGGGCAACCCUGAUGAGGGAAUUCCUAGUGCCUGCAUUUUGUGUAGGCUUUUCUUUAGUGUAGAUAGCUAGAGGAAUAAGGGCCGGGUAAGACGGGUGCCAGCCGCCGCGGUAAUACCCGCGGCCCGAGUGGUGGUCGAUAUUAUUGAGUCUAAAACGUCCGUAGCCUGUUCAGUAAAUCUUUGGGUAAAUCGGCCAGCUUAACUGACCGAACUCCGAAGAGACUGCUGAACUUGGGACCGGGAGAGGCCAGAGGUACUUUUGGGGUAGGGGUAAAAUCCUGUAAUCCUAAAAGGACCACCGGUGGCGAAGGCGUCUGGCUAGAACGGAUCCGACGGUGAGGGACGAAGCCCUGGGGCGCAAACGGGAUUAGAUACCCCGGUAGUCCAGGGUGUAAACGCUGCAGGCUUGGUGUUGGGGGUCCUUCGAGGGCGCCCAGUGCCGGAGAGAAGUUGUUAAGCCUGCUACUUGGGGAGUACGUCCGCAAGGAUGAAACUUAAAGGAAUUGGCGGGGGAGCAC